This 669-nucleotide ribosomal RNA is filed under the name Triticum aestivum (bread wheat). Its description in RNAcentral is "partial small subunit ribosomal RNA". The record is from RNAcentral. Lineage: Eukaryota; Viridiplantae; Streptophyta; Magnoliopsida; Poales; Poaceae.
AUGGGUAGUGCUAGUGAACCUCGCAAAUUUGAAUUUAAAGAUUUUCUUACUAGUAUCACUAUGGGGGAAUCCAGAGAAAUAGCACAAGCCACCAUAGGGAGCAUUCAUUUUCCUGCUAUACAUUAUUUUGCUCUUUUUAUAGGCAGAUGCGUAAAUGGUAAGAACGAAGCAUGUCACAUGUGUGUUCCUGACCUUAGCAUUCUCAGGAGUGCGGUGUUAGGAGAUAAACAAUAUAACUUGGGGGUCAUCGUUGCAUGUAGGUUGCAUAAUAAUGGUUUAAUUGGAGAUUUGUUUAGUGGGAUUUAUGCAACCUGUAUAGCUAAUUAUCUUGGGGUACCCAUACAUGAAAAUGAUAGAGAGUUGAUUUCUGCUUACCUAGAUUAUAAUGCCAUGGUUAACCACCAGUUUAUUGAAAGGAAAGAACAAUCCCUCCAAUAUCGACUAAUCUUUGACAGACGUCGCGCUAUCCAUAUUACUCUCCCUGCUCCUGCUUUCUUUGACUAUCAGGCAAAAAGAAGAUAUAUUAUAACCAGGGAGGAAGCGAACGAGUACGAGAAGAGGACGGAGGCAGCUCGCCGCCAGGCUGUCGCUCGUGAGGCAAUGGCUUGUGCAUCUCAGUACGACCCCAGUUACAACUUCGAAUAUCCACCAGGCCAUCCAUGGGCAUAG